GGCCGCAGUAUUUUAACUGUGCAAAGGUAGCAUAAUCAUUAGUCUUUUAAUUGAAGGCUGGAAUGAAUGGUUGGACAAAAUAUUAACUGUUUCAUAAUAAAUUUAUAAUAGAAUUUUAUUUUUUAGUCAAAAAGCUAAAAUUUAUUUAAAAGACGAGAAGACCCUAUAAAUCUUUAUAUUUAUUUUAUUAUAAUUUUGUAUAAAAUUUUAAUUAUAAUAUUUAGUAAUAUUUUAUUGGGGUGAUAUUAAAAUUUAAUAAACUUUUAAUUUAAUAUUUCAUUAAUUUAUGAAUAAUUGAUCCGUUAUUAACGAUUAAAAAAAUAAGUUACUUUAGGGAUAACAGCGUAAUUUUUUUGGAGAGUUCAUAUUAAUAAAAAAGAUUGCGACCUCGAUGUUGGAUU
This 401-nucleotide ribosomal RNA is filed under the name Phryxe heraclei. RNAcentral's name for it is "partial 16S rRNA". Lineage: Eukaryota; Metazoa; Arthropoda; Insecta; Diptera; Tachinidae. The record is from RNAcentral.